Molecule: long non-coding RNA, 328 nt
Organism: Sorex fumeus (smoky shrew)
Lineage: Eukaryota; Metazoa; Chordata; Mammalia; Eulipotyphla; Soricidae
Exons: 3
Source: RefSeq, a predicted model, not a curated record
GAAUAUCCAAGGUAUCUCUAAGCUCCCAAUUCACAUCACUAAGCCUCAAAAUGGUAAAGGUAAGGAAGACAAAGUUCUCAGCAUCUCUCCCAGGGCUAUGUUCAUUGCAUCCACAGGCCGCACUUUCCUAGCUGCAGACUUCUCGCAGAUUGAAUUGCGCAUUCUUACACACUUAUCGGGAGACCCAGAACUUCUGAAGUUAUUCCAGGAGUCAGAACAAGAUGAUGUCUUUUCGGCCCUGGCUUCCCAGUGGUAAGAUAUGUGAGCUCACCAUAUUAUCGGAUCUGCAGGGGCGCCGGCGCAACUUCAGACGCCUGAAAGAACCUCA